Small nucleolar RNA from Nannospalax galili (Upper Galilee mountains blind mole rat), 137 nucleotides. The record is from Ensembl. NCBI's taxonomy places the organism in Eukaryota, Metazoa, Chordata, Mammalia, Rodentia, Spalacidae.
UUGACUCUGAAUCAAGGCUAAGAGUUUAUUGAAGGUGUUGGUUUCAAGCAGGUGCCUAAAGAAAUGUCUUUCUAUGGUCUGGUGGCCAUUUCAGAAAUUUGGAAAUGUAAUGGACAAUUCAUCAGAAACAAACAUGC